RNAcentral lists this ribosomal RNA (520 nucleotides) under uncultured Glomus. RNAcentral describes it as "SSU rRNA". It matches the Rfam family "Eukaryotic small subunit ribosomal RNA", at positions 569 to 1087 of the family's 1831-position model. Lineage: Eukaryota; Fungi; Glomeromycota; Glomeromycetes; Glomerales; Glomeraceae. The record is from RNAcentral.
AGCAGCCGCGGUAAUUCCAGCUCCAAUAGCGUAUAUUAAAGUUGUUGCAGUUAAAAAGCUCGUAGUUGAAUUUCGGGAUCAAUACGUCUGUCGUGCCUUCGGUACGUACGGGUGUAAUUGGUUUCUACCUUCUGAGGAUCCUUGAUGUCAUUAAUUUGGUGUCUUGGGGAAUUCAGGACUGUUACCUUGAAAAAAUUAGAGUGUUUAAAGCAGGCAUACGCUUGAAUACAUUAGCAUGGAAUAAUGAAAUAGGACGUUCGAUUCUAUUUUGUUGGUUUCUAGGAUCAACGUAAUGAUUAAUAGGGAUAGUUGGGGGCAUUAGUAUUCAAUUGUCAGAGGUGAAAUUCUUGGAUUUAUUGAAGACUAACUACUGCGAAAGCAUUUGCCAAGGAUGUUUUCAUUAAUCAAGAACGAAAGUUAGGGAUCGAAGACGAUCAGAUACCGUCGUAGUCUUAACCAUAAACUAUGACCGACUAGGGAUCGGGAUGAUGUUAAUUUUUAAUGUACUCUAUUCGGCGCC